This is a long non-coding RNA of Sapajus apella (tufted capuchin), 3975 nucleotides long. RefSeq lists it as uncharacterized. The record is from RefSeq and is a predicted model, not a curated record. Lineage: Eukaryota; Metazoa; Chordata; Mammalia; Primates; Cebidae. The transcript has 2 exons.
AUCAUUUGGAGUGAUUGAAAUCUGUGGGAUGUAUGAGACUCUUACAGAUUGUUGGCUUUGUAAUUUUCUUUUAAAGUUCUAGUAUUGUAAAAUAAAACUUGUAAUAUUUCUAAUCCUGUCUAAUUUAUUAACCCGAUAUGAAUCUUUGGGACAUUUGACCCCAAAUGAAAUUAAAAUAUAUCAAGAGGUCAGCGCUUUGUUAAAUCAUUCAGAGUAGACUAGAAACUCAAAUGUCUCCAAAGAAAUGUAUGGGACUGUCAGAGUUGUAGACUGUGUUUUUCAUAAAUGUUAUUCAUAAAAAUCAUAAACAUGAAUUUACUUCUAAUCUCUCUUAGGAAAGUUUCCCCCCUCUUCCAUGUUAGGAUGGAAAUUCUGUUUGUCAUUUUAGCAAGUAGGUGUUUUCUGAUAUGUUUUUUAACAUUUUUUCAUAUACAAUUGAAUUAUUCAUUAGUGUCUUUCCUGCCAAUGCAAAGAUGAAAUACAGGUCUAUUUUCAGUGUAAUUUUAAAAAAUAGUUUGACUUAGUACUUCAGAAUUAUUCAAAAUUUGUGUUGAUCUGCAAAGGUGAGCUCUAAGUAUCUGUCACUAGCUUGAUAGCUUUGUCAUUGAGGAACUUAUCUGCUCUUUAAUGAAAAAUGCCAGUGCCACUGUGUUUUCUUUACUGGUGAAAAUUCCCUGUUUUAUCUCAGUUACCGCUUUUCUUGCCCACUUUGAGAAAAUGCUUUGCUUAGUUUGAAUAAUUACAUAAAACUGCAGGUGCAUUAGGUAUUACAACAUGCCAUUUUCCAUGUCUCUAGAAAGUGGUAGACACAUAGGUGUUUGUGUUACAGUUCUUUCUUUUUAUUUGCUUUCAGGGAGGGUGGAACUACAACUUCGUGUUCCAGCAUGUAAAACAAACUUUUAAAAAAUUAAAACAAUGCAAUAAAGACAUGGUCUAGCUAUGUUGCCCAGGCUGAUUUCAAACUCCUGGGCUCAAGCAAUCCUUCUGCUUUGGCCUCCCAAAGUGCCAGGAUUACAGAUAUGGGCCAUUGUGCCUAAACUUGUUUAAUUUUCGUAAAAUGUAUAGAAAGUGUAACUUCCCAGUAAGAGAGAUGAGGAAUGGAGAACUUAACAGGACUCAGUGAGAGUCCUAUAAUAAAGUGAGAUCCCAGGCUUAUCAAAUAGGAAACCAUUACUAUUCAAAUACUGCUACUGAGUGAUCCUUCAAUGUGUUAUUGUACCAGCAGUAAACUUCUCUUUACUUUCAUUUCAAUACUGUCUGUGUGAUCCAAGGUAUAAAUAUUUGUCAGAAUAUACAUCUGUAGUUUAUAUGAAUGUAAUCAAGAGCAGCAUUUCAAGUUGUUUUCUCAUUGAGUAUAGGGGAUACGGGGCAUGGAGUGACUGGCUAUCUGGUGACUCUUUGGAUGUGAAGAUUUCCUCCCUGAUGAAUUAAAUGAUAAAAUCUCAAUGAAAUUUCCCACUUGUUCAAGUAAAAACGAGCACUAUUUAACUCAUUAGAAGGUUGCAUUUUUGUCCUACUAAUGACUCUAGAACUGCUAAUUUGUGAAUUGUAGAUAUAUGGUAAAAUUUAAAUACUUGACAUGCUUUGAAGAAUAAUCCCCUUCACUGAAUUGAAGUGACUUGUUUGAGUAAAUAGCAUGUCGUUUGGAUGGUAUAUAUUAAUUUUCAUUCAAUUGACAGUGCUUCAGCAGGCAUACUCAGCAAGCAGGUUUAGGGGUUGCAAAUUAUAAUUAGCCCUAUUAUUCAGAGCUGUUUAGACUAUACAUUAUGUAGAACAUUGCUUUUUAUUUCUGUGUUGCCCACUUUCGGGCUUUUGUUUUCUUUUCCUCUUUAGCUGCCCUUUAAAGAUAGGUACCCAUGGUUUAGGAAUAGAUGCUAUUAACCAUUUACCGAUGACAGGGUUUAUCUUAUCAUAGGAGAUUAAAAAUCACUGUACAGGAGGGUGGACAUUUGUUGAGUUGGUGAAUUUGAAGAUGGAGAAAAUUAGUGGAAAAAUUCUUCUGGAAGGGAGAUAUGCUUUGAGGUAUGAUUUAAAAUAAAGGAGAGAUGUGGAGCUCAUGGAAUUGCUUUUCAAUUGCUGGUAUUUCUUAAAGGGCAAUAAAAAACAUUAGAAGAUACUAAACAUUAACAGGUGCUAACUUUUAAAACUGCUGAUAUUCUCAAAGUAGGUACUUUAGUUAUCACCUUUAAUAACAUUAGAAGAAAGUGUUGCAAAUAGAAACAAAAGGAAAUUUGAGAUUUUUUUGUGGAUUCUAUCUAUGCCUGCUGGUCUGUUUCUUAUUACCAUGAAUAAUUUAAUAAUUGGCUGUGAGAAGGUGUCUUUAUCUCUGCCAGGCAGCGCUGUAGAAACUGGCUAUGAGCUCUCAGAGCCUGUCACUGCAUGGUGUUGACACAGAGUAGAGACUCCAUGUUUUUCAAAGUCAGUUGACCUCAUCUCUAUAGCCUGAGAAGCAUCAUGAUCCAUUAUGUUGGAGUUGUGUAAACUCACAAAACUUAUCUGGCAGAGGCAUCCUAAUUCAGCACCUCAUGUUAAAUAGGCAUUUAUGUUGUUCUAAGCCCGUAGGCUAAUGUCCAUGAUACCUAGCUGCAUGAGAUAGUCAGUGCCUAUUUGAAUUUUGAGGUAGAUAUGUGAAUGGUUACUUUGAUUCUAUAAAGGCUAGUUAUUUUGUUUUCCUUGUUUAGUCAUCCUGUAGUUCUUUCUGCUUUGAGUCAUUCAUCUUUGGAGAAUAAUUCCAGUCCUUUUUUUUUUUUUUGUAUCAGAAGGUCAAAAGUAGUUUUAAAAGUGAAUUGUGACUGUAUCCCUAAAAUUUUUUAUUUUUCUUUGACUACAGGACAUAUUUUCAGACUGUUUUAAUUCUCUUUAGUUGAGCCCCUUAGAGUGUAAAGAAGGCAAAACUCUUCAUCUCAUCCAUUAUCAUGCCCUUAUUUUUUCCCUAAGUGAACUGUGAUUUGGUGUCUCCAGUAAAGUAUACAGUAGGUUGGGCCAGAAGUGAACAGGAAUUCAUACCCAUGCCUUAUUUAUGACUUUAUUGAGGUGUUUUUUCAUUCUUUUGUGUAUUAUUUAACAAAAUGUUAUCUUUUUUUGCUAUGUAUAAGAUGCUUAGGAAAAACCUAAGUUAGGCCUAGACUCUGGAUGGCUAUUUAGAAUCCAGGUGGCUGGAGAACUCAUUUAUUGCCUUCUCAAAGUUUCUGGGUCAUGUGAACAAUGGGACAAGUAUGGCUUAAUAUAUUUGAAACUUUAAAUUUCUUAUGAAUAAUAAGGAUUUCCAUAGAUGAAUCUCAGAGUCUAAUGAAAAGGUAUAUACAUUUCUCAGAAAAAUUCUCUUAAAUGCAUAAUAUUACUGGGUUCUCAAAUUUAAUGUUGCUGCUCAAGAAAUAAAUUCGAUUGUUGUGUGUAUAUGUGUGUGCAUGUAUGGAAAUAGUGCUUUGACUUAGUUACUCAUUUGCCUAUGCCCAUUGUAGAAUGGCUUCUGAAAACGGGGCUUAGAAGUGAGAGGUUUUGGGGUUGGGGCUGUUUUAAGCUGCUAUCAGAGGCUGGUCAGAGUGCCUCCCAUUUAGUAAAUAAUUGAAACGAUGCUUCUGAGGGCUUAUAAAUUUACAUACUUUUAUUAAUUGUUUUACUGUUCAGUAAAAGAAAAGAUGAUCAUAUUUAUAUGAAAGGAACAGCGAAAAACAGCACCAUUUAUAAUUCUAGGAGCAAGAAGAUGGUAAUCCAAUAUGUGUGGUCCGUUAAACAGAGCAAAGUGUUAUAUUCUGAAACAUCCAAAAGAUACCGGCCCUGGGUCAAUUCUAUACCAGCUCCAGGUGCUGCUAAAGGAAGUUUCAGAACCUAGUUGGUUCCACUUAGGCAGCCUAGACUCUCUUGUUAGGCAUUUUCACAGCAGGUUCCCAGAGGAAUAGCUGAUCAUGACAAUAAAAUGGGUAGUAAUGAGAGUUGGGGACAGAUGGCUGUAAGAGUCAGCUUUCUCAAACAGAC